RNAcentral lists this small RNA (566 nucleotides) under Histoplasma capsulatum var. duboisii H88. Its description in RNAcentral is "Histoplasma capsulatum H88 hypothetical RNA". The record is from RNAcentral. Lineage: Eukaryota; Fungi; Ascomycota; Eurotiomycetes; Onygenales; Ajellomycetaceae.
UGGCAUGGGGUGGACCCAGAGUGUCGUUUGCUGGGAUAAUCACAACUCUCUAGCUCUCCCGAUGUUGAGGCGGAUGACUUGCUUCCACACAAACAUUCUGCUUGGGGGAAGUCUCAUCUUGCUCCAAGUCAGAUAACAAACCGACUCGAAUCUGGAUUUUGCGCGUUUCUUCGCGGUAUAUUCAAUAUAAACAGAGGUAUUUUUUGAGACACAUCGCUGCAAGACUCGCAGAUCUGAAGAGUGAGAAACUAAAUGUCUAAUCACGGUCUUGAGUUGAGUCUGCUCGAGAGCAGUUAGGAGAACAUACAUAUUCACAUACUGGUACAUAUAUAUAUACAUCAAGAGUGUGUGAUGUUGUAUGGACUACCUCCAUGCCCAUGACAAGAACUUGAGAAUGUAGAUAUCUCCUACACAGGUUUUUCAUAGUCGUCUCUAAAUGACUCCUUCUCUGCGAAAACAUGCAUGCAUGGAACACAACACAUUCAUGGCCGGCGACACCUUCCCCCCGUCUGCAAUUUAUAGAAACUGGAAAGUAGCGCGGAUGCAUACAUACAUACAUACACACA